AGUGAACGCUGGCGGUAGGCCUAACACAUGCAAGUCGAACGGCAGCACAGUAAGAGCUUGCUCUUACGGGUGGCGAGUGACGGACGGGUGAGGAAUACUUCGGAAUCUACUUUUUCGUGGGGGAUAACGUAGGGAAACUUACGCUAAUACCGCAUACGACCUACGGGUGAAAGCAGGGGAUCUUCGGACCUUGCGCGAUUGAAUGAGCCGAUGUCGGAUUAGCUAGUUGGCGGGGUAAAGGCCCACCAAGGCGACGAUCCGUAGCUGGUCUGAGAGGAUGAUCAGCCACACUGGAACUGAGACACGGUCCAGACUCCUACGGGAGGCAGCAGUGGGGAAUAUUGGACAAUGGGCGCAAGCCUGAUCCAGCCAUACCGCGUGGGUGAAGAAGGCCUUCGGGUUGUAAAGCCCUUUUGUUGGGAAAGAAAAGCAGCAGGUUAAUACCCCGCUGUUCUGACGGUACCCAAAGAAUAAGCACCGGCUAACUUCGUG
Molecule: ribosomal RNA, 492 nt
Filed under: uncultured bacterium
Lineage: Bacteria
Description: partial 16S ribosomal RNA
Rfam family: Bacterial small subunit ribosomal RNA
Source: RNAcentral